CAGGAGGUCAUUUUGUUCCUUUCCAGGCUAGGGCACAGGUCAUCCAGUGUGGUCAGAUGGCAGCCCCUUAACUGUCGCUCUUCCUGCCCACUCCCUUUCUGCCCAGGGAAUUAAGUCCUAGAGGAUAAUACUUGGAUUGUCUUCAGCAGCAGUCUCGUGGACUUCUAAAAGCUGCUGGCAACAACCCCAGGACAAUGGGGGACCCACCAGGGGGUAGGGGAACCUGGCAAGAAACAGUGGUGCUACCAGAUGUGUUUCUCAGACAAGGCCAAGUUCUGAAAGUAGCAGGGACUCAGCAACAUUUCCACCCUGUUCAAUUUUAAUCUGCCUCCCAAGCUGAGAUCUUCAAGAAGCAAACUCUGAGGUGGAGAUAAGGCUGCAGGACAUUUGUUAGUGACAAUCACUGGACAUCAGUUGGUCACAAGUGGGUAGAGGGAGAAGCUGAGCUGCACUGCAGUCUACGUCACAACCCCAGCUGACCUCAGAGAGCUUGGGAGAUGAAAUGAUCUUCAGUUGUCCCCAGUCAGGGGUGAAUCUUUAUACUCUGUUGAUCUGUCAGUGGGUGCAGGCUGGCCUAGGAAGGAGGUGUGACCCAGCACAGUCCCGGAAGGGCUGCUGGACUCCCCCAAACUGGAGACUGUUCUGCAUUCCUGGAGAGGGUCUAGGCUGGGGUACAUCGAAGCUUUAACCACUCCCAGUGGUGACAUUUUAGAUGGCAGGGAACAAAAGCUGUUUUGGACCUGCCACUUGGCACGUCCCUUUCAGCUUUAUGGGGAGGCCCCAGUGGCAAGA
RNAcentral lists this long non-coding RNA (792 nucleotides) under Heterocephalus glaber (naked mole-rat). RNAcentral's name for it is "lncRNA (ENSHGLG00000038799.1)". The record is from RNAcentral. Lineage: Eukaryota; Metazoa; Chordata; Mammalia; Rodentia; Bathyergidae.